CACCCCCUGCGGUAUUGGUCAAGACCCUAUAUUCCUUGAACCAAUGUUUGCUUGGCAUCCGCUGGAAAACCGGGACGAUGUUGUGAGCGGCUCUCGUAGCCGAACCUGAUUCGACCGGCCAUUCCGCGACACUGAACCUACGGUUCAGGAUGCUGGUCUUGACGGUAUGCGCGGGGGGCUU
This 181-nucleotide non-coding RNA is filed under the name Zoogloeaceae bacterium. RNAcentral describes it as "6S RNA". It matches the Rfam family "6S / SsrS RNA". Rfam says of the family: E. coli 6S RNA was the first non coding RNA to be sequenced, but its function was unknown until recently. Lineage: Bacteria; Pseudomonadati; Pseudomonadota; Betaproteobacteria; Rhodocyclales; Zoogloeaceae. The record is from RNAcentral.